This 144-nucleotide ribosomal RNA is filed under the name Bacillus siamensis. RNAcentral's name for it is "partial 23S ribosomal RNA". It matches the Rfam family "Bacterial large subunit ribosomal RNA", at positions 2783 to 2925 of the family's 2925-position model. The record is from RNAcentral. Lineage: Bacteria; Bacillati; Bacillota; Bacilli; Caryophanales; Bacillaceae.
UGAUGUGUAUACGCGACAGAGGUGAGAUUGACCAUUCCGCAAGUAAGUAAGAUCCCUGAAAGAUGCUCAGGUUGAUAGGUCUGAGGUGGAAGUGUGGCGACACAUGGAGCUCACAGAUACUACUCGAUCGAUUUUUCAAAAAAA